UAGGGAAUCUUCCGCAAUGGGCGAAAGCCUGCCGGAGCAACGCCGCGUGAGUGAUGAAGGUCUUCGGAUCGUAAAACUCUGUUAUUAGGGAAGAACAAAUGUGUAAGUAACUAUGCACGUCUUGACGGUACCUAAUCAGAAAGCCACGGCUAACUACGUGCCAGCAGCCGCGGUAAUACGUAGGUGGCAAGCGUUAUCCGGAAUUAUUGGGCGUAAAGCGCGCGUAGGCGGUUUUUUAAGUCUGAUGUGAAAGCCCACGGCUCAACCGUGGAGGGUAAUUGGAAACUGGAAAACUGGAGUGCAGAAGAGGAAAGUGGAAUUCCAUGUGUAGAGGUGAAAUGCGCAGAGAUAUGGAGGAACACCAGUGGCGAAGGCGACUUUCUGGUCUGUAACUGACGCUGAUGUGCGAAAGCGGGGGGAUCAAACAGG
RNAcentral lists this ribosomal RNA (429 nucleotides) under Actinomycetes bacterium. RNAcentral's name for it is "Actinobacteria bacterium partial 16S ribosomal RNA". It matches the Rfam family "Bacterial small subunit ribosomal RNA", at positions 355 to 776 of the family's 1533-position model. The record is from RNAcentral. Lineage: Bacteria; Bacillati; Actinomycetota; Actinomycetes.